RNAcentral lists this non-coding RNA (121 nucleotides) under bovine gut metagenome. Its description in RNAcentral is "FMN riboswitch (RFN element)". It matches the Rfam family "FMN riboswitch aptamer (RFN element)". Rfam says of the family: The RFN element is a highly conserved domain that is found frequently in the 5'-untranslated regions of prokaryotic mRNAs that encode for flavin mononucleotide (FMN) biosynthesis and transport proteins. This element is a metabolite-dependent riboswitch that directly binds FMN in the absence of proteins. The record is from RNAcentral.
GUUUCAGGGCGGGGUGCGAUUCCCCACUGGCGGUAAAGGGCAGAAGCCACGAGUCCGCGAGCCUUAAAAGGGCAGAGCCGGUAAGAUCCCGGCACCAACGGUACAGUCCGGAUGAAAGAAA